GCCAGACCCACUUCCGGGUUGGUUAUUUGUUUGGGAUGUAUAUAAACUGCAUAGUCGGAGCACAUUCCCUCUCUGUUUCCUCUGUGUUUGCCAGAGGCUGGUCCUGUUGUGUGCCUGUUGAGCAGAGCAUGGGGGUGUUGCACUCUUACAGGGGCAGCGGCGAUCACGGAUGGCUUGACGGUGGAGGGUUCGGCGACAGAGUCUCUCACCUGUACUUCACACCCCCUUAAAGUGUGUGCAUGGUUUUCUGCACGGCCUUCACAAUUUAUAUUAUAUAUUCCCUAUUUUUGGUUUUGCUUUGCUGUGUGCGUGUGUGCGUGUGUGUGUGUGUGUAGGGCACUUGAGUGUGGUGAGUACACUGUCCGGUUGUAAAUUUUCCCUUUUCAAUGUCUGCGGCCGCUGCCGGCCAUCCUCAGCACUCCUUAACUUAGUAUAAAUAUUGAUGAUUAUUUUGACUUUUUUGUUUUUAAUAGUCUUGGUUUUUACCUUUUUUGAUGUGUUGGCAUGUUUUAAAAUUAAACUUGGGGGAAAUUCCUGUCUCUGAGCCUAAUUUACUGUCACUUGUAUCAAUACAAAAUCUGAGUUUUACCUACAGAGUAAAUUGAAUGCUGGCUCAUCCACGGCCCAGCCACAGCUGGUUAUCAUUUACGUUAGUGUCUAAUGGUUACGUAUUACAAGUUGGGAGCGAGACCUGGGAGAAGUACCUGUUACGAUCUUGAGAGAUUCAGGAGGUUUGGACUCAUUUGUUUUGGACUACAUGUUACCCUGUUCACUCCUGAGACGGACAAUGAUUCCAAUGUUGGGAUCCAAGGUAUGGGAUUGACUGUUACACAGCCUAAAUUGACACUGUUUUCUCAGAGCUGGUGCAAGGUGACGUGACCUCAGUAAUAUGUUUUAGUCCCAAUUACUUGGUUUUAGUCACACAGAUAGAGUUCCCUUAGCCUCCUUACACAGGGACUGUAAAGCUGAAGAGGCCCCCAGAAACUCAAUAGACUAUGUGAAUGAUUUCAGACAGCGGCUGUACAGGGAAAAUAAAAUGGUGAAAGAGAAUCGGCAGGCAGCUCAGAGAAAAAUUAAAAGUCUCUAUGAUCGUCGCGGUGAUCGCCGUGAAUUUAGCCCUGGUGAAGUUCUGGCACUUCUCCCUUUAGCUUGUUCUCCUUUACAGGCUAAGUUCCCUGGCCCUUAUACAGUGGCCUGAAAAGUGUCAGAUUUGAACUAUUUAAUCUCAACUCCUGACAGGAAAUAGUCUAUGCAGCUCUGUCACAUUAACUUGUUGAAGCCUUACUUUACUCACGCUCCUGGUCCAGUUUCUGUUUCCUCAGCCGUCACUUUGGUUAACUCUGCUCCACCUCUUGAUCCAAUAGCAGACACUGAGGAGGAGUUGGAUGCACCAGAUAAUGGAAUUUUCAGAGGACGUCAUAAAAAGUCUUGCCAAUUAGGAUGAGAUUCUAAAACAUUUACCUGAAAAAAAAAGAACAGAACUGCUGGUCUUAUUUAAAGUUAUCCCUGCCUAUUUGCAGGCACUCCUGCAAAUACUCAUCUCAUUGAGCAUGACAUUGAUGUGGGAGAUGCCCAGCCAGUCGGACAACGUUUUUAUCGCAUGUGUCCAGACAAGCGGGAGCAUUUAGAAGCUGAGGUCAGAUAGAUGUUAGAGAAUAACAUUGCUAAGCCAUUUGUCUCUAGUUGGUCUUCUCCCUGUCUGCUUGUGAAGAAACCUGAUGGUACUUUCAGGCCAUGUACUGAUCUCUGGAAGGUGAAUCAAGUAACCCAGUAUGACUCUUUUUUACUCCCAUGUAUGGAGGACUGUGUGGACCAAGUUGGCUCUGCAAAAUAUGUCAGCAUAUUUGACCUACUGAAAGGUUACUGGCAGGUCCCUUUCCCUGAAACAGAUUCUCUUCCUAAAAUGCAGAUUCAUGAUUGUGCUUCCACUCUCUCCAUUGCUCCGUUUGACCACCCCCUCUCACAACAGCCAAUCACAAAAUAUAUAAAUAAACAGCCAGAAAAAAAACAAUUUUUUCUCCCAGUUUAUUUAAGCUACUGUCAUU
Long non-coding RNA from Scophthalmus maximus (turbot), 2045 nucleotides. RefSeq lists it as uncharacterized. NCBI's taxonomy places the organism in Eukaryota, Metazoa, Chordata, Actinopteri, Pleuronectiformes, Scophthalmidae. The transcript has 3 exons. The record is from RefSeq and is a predicted model, not a curated record.